CUCUCUCAGCAAUUGUAAAUCCAACAUUAAGAGGCUCCAAUCGAGGAAGUAUGGAAAAAAAAGGAAGAAAUAACAACCCUUUAUUAAAAUAUAUAUGUAUGUUGGCAAAGACAGUAACAGAACACAAAAAACAACUAGACAAUAGUCCUGUACCCAAAAGUCCCCUUCAAAAAAAAAAAGAAACAGUCUGAACACUUCUCUGUCUUUAGCGCAGUUCUAAUCACGGCCGGCAGGGGGCGCUGUUGGAUCGCUGGAGGUGCAGAGCCUGCAGGUCUCUGUGUUGGCCUGCAGGGGGCGCUGUUGGGCACUGGCGGUCGCCGCGUGAGGCCUCGGAUCACGGGAGAAGCCGGAGUGGGGCCUUCUCCCACCAAGAGGGGGAAGGGAAGAAAGGAAAAGCAGAGCAGUCCACUUUCCGUGGAACUCACUGCUGUCCUCGGCUGGCAGUGCUCAAGGUUCCUCUUUAUUCCCCAACGAGCACAAACUCUCCAAUGAAAUCGCAGCAGGUUCGGGCUGGAGGCAGGAGCAGCGUGCAGGCAAGCCGAGGCGAGUGGUCAGAAAUUACCGAGUUGAGAGCAAGAAAAACGGCCUCAAAGCUUUUCCAAAUGCACACAGACUCACCGUCUCCGUUCAAGUAGAGAAACCAAACUGUUCUCCCGUUUAUGAGGAGGGCAGCAAAAACUCCUCCUCCCUCCCUCCGGUCUUAGGAGUCAGAAGUUCCUUUGGGCCUUAUCAUAUGCAUCAGGGAUGGUGUUUGUCACUAACAGCUUUACAAAGGUGUUACUUCUCAUCGUCUGCAAUGUGUCGCACUGCUGUCACACACCUAACCUCUUCCUGUGAUUACAUGGUUCAUGAACACCUCUUCAGAAGGCUGGAUUUCCCAAAUACACACACACAAAGUGUGGGUGGUGCAGCCAGCUAAGCUGGUGUUUAUGCACAGGUACAAAAAUGGUCCUCUUUGGUUGACUGAGAAGUCUUUGCAAACAAAAAGUGCUCCAGUCUAAGACCUUCAAUCCAGUGAUCCAGAAAAAUACUUUUUUAUUUCUUCAGAUAUUGUGGCUUUGAGAAGAGAACUUCAGCUCUAUCUCCAUGUUCCCAUAUCCGUUUCAGUGCAGGUAGGUUGGUCCUGUACAAAUUAUUGUUACAAAGCAGUUUGAUAUAAAGCAAAUACUCUUCCCAACUGAAGCAAAAUGUACAUGCUAAAAGGAUAUACAUGUUGCCCUGAACUAAUUGCCAUCCUUAUGAUGGUUCUGCUGUGACAUGGAGGAGUGAGGAGGUUGACACAGGCUAUCACUUUUACAGGUGGACCCUUCAGAAAUUGCUCUCACAUAUUGGACAGCACAGCAGGCAAGGUCAUCUUCGCUGCAGCAUGUAUCCAAAAUCCCUCUUGGAAUGCACAUUGUUGCUCACAGUUGGCCUGGUGGAAAUGAUCUGUGUCCACUUCCAAUGCAGUUAGCUAUCCUCAGAGGGGUAAAAAGAGACAGAAAACAGUGGGCAGUUUGCCCAUUCUAUGCUUUGAGUAUGAAGUCCUGGGCACAGGGCCCUUACAUUGCAGAUGCCCUGAAAAACCCCAACAACUGCUGUCCAGAUGUUACGGUGACCCUAGAAUUGCUUGCCCCGUUAUUGCACCAUUAUUCCACCCAUGGAAUACCCCAUUCUCCUUAGACUCCUCAACAGGACUGCUCACAGGCAGGUAAUCCAGCCAGAGCUGGCUGUCUCCUCUGCUGGACUCCAUCUCUAGUGCACACAGCCGCACCAUGGUUUCAGCAAGUGCUCUACCCCUGAGUCUCUGAGUUUUUCACCUUCAGCGAUGGAGAGCUGGGCAUUCUCUUAUCUAAUCUCAAGCUUGAGAAAAUUACCUCUGUUGAAACGUGGCUUUUAUGUUAGAUUGUUCUUUGAUACUGCUUUGGGAAAGGCUGGGCCAGUUCUGUGUUGUUCUGUGUUACUUCAGUGCAGUGCUGGUUGCUGUACCCUGAUUUUUCUGGAUGGGCCAGGAAAAGGUGGUAGGUCUUAUAAAAUCUAAAUAUUAAAUCUUAUUUGACUGCCCCUCAUGAGGAUAAAAUCCCAGGGAAAACUUCCAUUAUUUGGAGCAGAAGCCCAGCCAGUGUCAUUUGUCUGUGAAGGCACACUCCUGAAUCCUUUUUCAGCUAAAAAACAAGUAAAAAAUAAGUAAAAGAAAACAAGCAAACCAAACCAAACCAGACCCACACACAAAAA
Molecule: long non-coding RNA, 2214 nt
Organism: Pseudopipra pipra
Lineage: Eukaryota; Metazoa; Chordata; Aves; Passeriformes; Pipridae
Exons: 3
Source: RefSeq, a predicted model, not a curated record